UUUGAUCCUGGCUCAGAUUGAACGCUGGCGGCAUGCCUAACACAUGCAAGUCGAACGGCAUCGCGGGAGCUUGCUCCUGGCGGCGAGUGGCGGACGGGUGAGUAAUAUGUAGGAAUCUACCUUGAAGUGGGGGAUAACUUAGGGAAACUUAAGCUAAUACCGCAUAAUAACUACGGUGGAAAGCAGGGGAUCUUCGGACCUUGCGCUUUAAGAUGAGCCUACAUCGGAUUAGCUAGUUGGUGGGGUAAAGGCCUACCAAGGCGAUGAUCCGUAGCUGGUCUGAGAGGAUGACCAGCCACACUGGGACUGAGACACGGCCCAGACUCCUACGGGAGGCAGCAGUGGGGAAUAUUGGACAAUGGGGGCAACCCUGAUCCAGCAAUGCCGCGUGUGUGAAGAAGGCCUUAGGGUUGUAAAGCACUUUCAGUGGGGAGAAAGGGCUUGAUGCUAAUACCAUCAGGCAUUGAUGUUACCCACAGAAGAAGCACCGGCUAACUCUGUGCCAGCAGCCGCGGUAAUACAGAGGGUGCGAGCGUUAAUCGGAAUUACUGGGCGUAAAGGGUGUGUAGGUGGUUAUAUAAGUUAGAUGUGAAAUCCCCGGGCUCAACCUGGGAACUGCGUUUAAGACUGUAUGACUAGAGUACUGUAGAGGAUAGUGGAAUUUCCAGUGUAGCGGUGAAAUGCGUAGAUAUUGGAAGGAACACCAGUGGCGANAGGCGACUAUCUGGACAGAUACUGACACUGAGACACGAAAGCAUGGGGAGCAAACAGGAUUAGAUACCCUGGUAGUCCAUGCUGUANAACUAUGAGAACUUGCUGUUGGAUGCAUAAAGGCAUUUAGUAGCGAAGCUAACGCGUUAAGUUCUCCGCCUGGGGAGUACGGCCGCAAGGCUAAAACUCAAAGGAAUUGACGGGGGCCCGCACAAGCGGUGGAGCAUGUGGUUUAAUUCGAUGCAACGCGAAGAACCUUACCUACUCUUGAAUCCACGGAAUCCUGCAGAGAUGCGGGAGUGCCUUCGGGAACCGUGAGACAGGUGCUGCAUGGCUGUCGUCAGCUCGUGUCGUGAGAUGUUGGGUUAAGUCCCGUAACGAGCGCAACCCCUAUCCUUAGUUACCAGCGAGUAAAGUCGGGGACUCUAGGGAGACCGCCGGUGACAAACCGGAGGAAGGUGGGGAUGAUGUCAAGUCAUCAUGGCCCUUACGAGUAGGGCUACACACGUGCUACAAUGGUUGGUACAAAAGGCAGCUAAGUCGCGAGAUGGAGCAAAUCCUGAAAAACCAAUCGUAGUCCGGAUUGGAGUCUGCAACUCGACCCCAUGAAGCUGGAAUCGCUAGUAAUCGUGGAUCAGAACGCCACGGUGAAUACGUUCUCGGGCCUUGUACACACCGCCCGUCACACCAUGGGAGUGGGUUGCACCAGAAGUGGUUAGACUAACCUUCGGGAGGUCGAUCACCACGGUGUGAUUCAUGACUGGGGUGAAGUCGUAACAAGGUAGCCGUAGGGGAACCUGCGGCUGGAUCACCUCCUU
Molecule: ribosomal RNA, 1529 nt
Filed under: uncultured bacterium
Lineage: Bacteria
Description: 16S ribosomal RNA
Rfam family: Bacterial small subunit ribosomal RNA
Source: RNAcentral